This 496-nucleotide ribosomal RNA is filed under the name uncultured bacterium. Its description in RNAcentral is "partial 16S ribosomal RNA". It matches the Rfam family "Bacterial small subunit ribosomal RNA", at positions 28 to 506 of the family's 1533-position model. The record is from RNAcentral.
GAUGAACGCUGGCGGCGUGCCUAAUACAUGCAAGUCGAGCGAACGGACGAGAAGCUUGCUUCUCUGAUGUUAGCGGCGGACGGGUGAGUAACACGUGGAUAACCUACCUAUAAGACUGGGAUAACUUCGGGAAGCCGUAGCUAAUACCGGAUAAUAUUUUGAACCGCAUGGUUCAAAAGUGAAAGACGGUCUUGCUGUCACUUAUAGAUGGAUCCGCGCUGCAUUAGCUAGUUGGUAAGGUAACGGCUUACCAAGGCAACGAUGCAUAGCCGACCUGAGAGGGGAAUCGGCAAACAAGGAACUGAGACACGGUCCAAACGCCCAGGGGGGGCACCGGUAGGGAAUUUGCCGGAAGGGGCGAAAGCCUAACGGGGCAACGCGGGGUGAGAGAGGAAGGUUUUCGGAGCGUAAAACUCUGUUAUUGGGGAAGAACAAAUUUGUAAGUAAGUUGGCACAUUUUGGCGGUACUGAAUCAAAAAGCCACGGUUAACUACGG